UUCUCGGGCUGUUGGUGUUCGGCCAGGGCUCUUUGGCCACAGUAGCCUGGGCCCUAAAGGCCAUCUAGUUGCUGAGUCUGUUUGGGGUUUUUACUUUGUGAGAAGAAGGCCUCGUCAUUCCAACAGUCGAUGACUCGCUUUGAUCAACCCCUGCCCAGGACUAGGCCUGAGCCCUGUCGUCGUACCGGCGAGGAUGUGCGUCUCCCCUGCCUGCAGGCUGUGCCCUGAGACCCAGUUGUGGGGCUGCCCAGCACCUGCCAUCCUGCUGGGAGUCAGGUUUUCUUAGUGCUUGAGAAGACUCAGGAGGGCCUGUCCCAUGCCCUUGUUGGCCUUAAGAGCAAGUGAUUCCAGAAGAGGAGUGGGCGCCACUCUCAUCCAGAGGCCCGUCCCGAGAGAAUAGCAUUCCUUUCGAACACCACGGCAAGUAGCUGCUCGUCUCCCAUCGGAAGGCAGCACUGGAUUCCUGGUCGGGUGGCUUCCAGUGGUCUUCAGUCUGUCGUGCACCGAUGAGAACUCUCCUUAUUGCUCUGAAGGGCAGACAAUGCAUGGCUGAUCUACUCUGUUACCAAUGGCUUUACUAGUGACGCGUCCCCCGGUCUAGGAUCGAAAUGUUAACACCGGGAGCUCUCCAGGCCACUCACCCAGCGACGCUCAUGGGGGAAACAUACUAAACGGACAGACUCCAAGAGCUGCCACCGCUGGGGCUGCACUGCGGCCCCCCACGUGAACUCGGUUGUAAUGGGGCUGGGAAGAAAAGCAGAGAGAGAAUUGCAGAGAAUCAGACUCCCUUUCCAGGGCCUCAGCUCCCUCCAGUGGUGGCCGCCCUGUACUCCCUGACGAUUCCACUGUAACUACCAGUCUUCUACUUGGUUAAGACAGUUUUGUAUCAUUUUGCUAAAAAUUAUUGGCUUAAAUCUGUGUAAAGAAAA
RNAcentral lists this small RNA (929 nucleotides) under Pongo abelii (Sumatran orangutan). RNAcentral's name for it is "processed transcript". The record is from RNAcentral. Lineage: Eukaryota; Metazoa; Chordata; Mammalia; Primates; Hominidae.